This is a long non-coding RNA of Diceros bicornis minor, 750 nucleotides long. RefSeq lists it as uncharacterized. The transcript is spliced from 3 exons. The record is from RefSeq and is a predicted model, not a curated record. Lineage: Eukaryota; Metazoa; Chordata; Mammalia; Perissodactyla; Rhinocerotidae.
UCGGGGAAGGCCUCUGGGAAAAGCAGACAAGUAAGCAAAGACUAAAAGCAGGCAGGAGAAGGAGCCCUGCAGGUUCUCGGGGAAGAGAGCUCCACGCAGAGGGAAUUCUUUGCCAACAGACAGAGCCUGCUGUCCUUGGCUCUGCUCUCCCGAGCUUCUGUAACGUUGGAAUCCUUUCAGAACCGCAGCUGUGCAGGGCGCUGGAGAAGCUGCACCAUGGGUGUCGCCCAGAUCCAGUCUCAGCAUCUUCCUCACCCCCGAGACUUCAGCCUCUGUGGACUUCCUGCUGAUCCCGAGCAGGGUGAAGAAAUAGCUAAGACAUUUGGAUAGCCAAUGGAAAAUAGAAGAAAGAGUAAGGGAGUAUGGACCCAGCCUGUGAUGUUAAACAUAACUACAUGUCCGCUGACACAGAGAAUGACUAACAUCUAUGUGCUUGGAAAGUGGAGGGCUGCAAACUCCAGCGUUCACCAGGAACAACCAGUAGUGAAACAGCCUGUGUGGAAGGAUAUUAGGGAGUGGUGGGGACUGUGGCAGACUGGCAACCACAUGCCCCAUCUAAGGUGGCAGCUGCUGCUCAGCUCUAAUCAUCCAUGCCAGAAUGUUAGUCCAGAGUCAUCAGACCUCUGAUUUUGGGGGGAGAAAUCAGAAAUCUAGAUUUUUAAAAUAUAAGAUCCCCUACAUUUUAAAAUGUUGAUACUAUUUUGAAUUAAUAAAUAAAAAAAAGUAAGGACCAAACUAAAUAAAUCUGAA